Molecule: transfer RNA, 57 nt
Filed under: Ancylostoma duodenale
Lineage: Eukaryota; Metazoa; Nematoda; Chromadorea; Rhabditida; Ancylostomatidae
Rfam family: tRNA
About the family: Transfer RNA (tRNA) molecules are approximately 80 nucleotides in length. Their secondary structure includes four short double-helical elements and three loops (D, anti-codon, and T loops).
Source: Rfam by way of RNAcentral
UGGUGUAGCGGUUAGCACUCGGGACUCUGAAUCCUGCGACGGGAGUUCAAAUCUCCC